AGGGUAGAGGCUGCAUUGUUUAAGAGUACCGCAUGCGAGAGUGACAUCGUAGACCAUGUGUGAAAGGAAACAUUGCCGAAGUCUGGUGGAACGUCAAUUCCAUGAGGCUGGGGUCAUUUCGAAAAGGGAUGGCACUGUCACGGACAGCUAUAUUGUCCAUGAUGAGCUAC
Molecule: non-coding RNA, 170 nt
Filed under: uncultured Sporosarcina sp.
Lineage: Bacteria; Bacillati; Bacillota; Bacilli; Caryophanales; Caryophanaceae
Description: Lysine riboswitch
Rfam family: Lysine riboswitch aptamer
About the family: Riboswitches are metabolite binding domains within certain messenger RNAs that serve as precision sensors for their corresponding targets.
Source: RNAcentral